Molecule: transfer RNA, 51 nt
Filed under: Staphylococcus aureus subsp. aureus IS-189
Lineage: Bacteria; Bacillati; Bacillota; Bacilli; Caryophanales; Staphylococcaceae
Description: tRNA-Ser
Rfam family: tRNA
About the family: Transfer RNA (tRNA) molecules are approximately 80 nucleotides in length. Their secondary structure includes four short double-helical elements and three loops (D, anti-codon, and T loops). Further hydrogen bonds mediate the characteristic L-shaped molecular structure. tRNAs have two regions of fundamental functional importance: the anti-codon, which is responsible for specific mRNA codon recognition, and the 3' end, to which the tRNAs corresponding amino acid is attached (by aminoacyl-tRNA synthetases). tRNAs cope with the degeneracy of the genetic code in two manners: having more than one tRNA (with a specific anti-codon) for a particular amino acid; and 'wobble' base-pairing, i.e. permitting non-standard base-pairing at the 3rd anti-codon position.
Source: RNAcentral
AUCUGACUUUUAAUCAGAGGGUCAGAGGUUCGAAUCCUCUAUGGCUCACUA